Molecule: ribosomal RNA, 229 nt
Filed under: uncultured bacterium
Lineage: Bacteria
Description: partial 16S ribosomal RNA
Rfam family: Bacterial small subunit ribosomal RNA
Source: RNAcentral
UCCGUAGGCGGGCAGCUCAGUCAGUGGUGAAAGUUUGCAGCUCAACUGUAAAAUUGCCAUUGAUACUGGUUGUCUUGAAUUAAUGUGAAGUGGUUAGAAUAUGUAGUGUAGCGGUGAAAUGCAUAGAUACUACAUGGAAUACCAAUUGCGAAGGCAGAUCACUAACAUUAUAUUGACGCUGAUGGACGAAAGCGUGGGGAGCGAACAGGAUUAGAUACCCUGGUAGUCC